This 485-nucleotide ribosomal RNA is filed under the name uncultured bacterium. RNAcentral's name for it is "partial 16S ribosomal RNA". It matches the Rfam family "Bacterial small subunit ribosomal RNA", at positions 30 to 507 of the family's 1533-position model. The record is from RNAcentral.
AUUGAACGCUGGCGGCAUGCCUUACACAUGCAAGUCGAACGGCAGCACGGGUGCUUGCACCUGGUGGCGAGUGGCGAACGGGUGAGUAAUACAUCGGUACCUGUCCUGUAGUGUGGAUAGACCGGCGAAAACCGGGUUCAUACCGCAUACGAUCUACCGUUGUAAGUGGGGGGCCUUCGGGCCUUGCGCCAUUGGGUUGGCCGAUGGCUGCUUAGCUAGUUGGUGGGGUAAAGGUCUACCAAGGCGACGAUCAGUAGUUGGUCUGAUAGGACGGUCACCCACACUGGGACUGAGACACGGCCCAGACGCCUACGGGAGGCAGCAGUGGGGAAUGGUGGACAAUGGGCGAAAGCCUGAUCCAGCAAUGCCGCGUGUGUGAAGAAGGCCUUCGGGUUGUAAAGCACUUUUGUCCGGAAAGAAAUCCUUGGCUCUAAGACAGUCGGGGGAUGACGGUACCGGAAGAAUAAGCACCGGCUAACUACGUG